RNAcentral lists this ribosomal RNA (1439 nucleotides) under uncultured organism. Its description in RNAcentral is "16S ribosomal RNA". It matches the Rfam family "Bacterial small subunit ribosomal RNA". The record is from RNAcentral.
CAGGCUUAACACAUGCAAGUCGAGGGGCAGCAUGGUCUUAGCUUGCUAAGGCCGAUGGCGACCGGCGCACGGGUGAGUAACGCGUAUCCAACCUGCCUUACACUCUUGGACAGCCUUCUGAAAGGGAGAUUAAUACAAGAUGUUAUCAUGAGUAAGCAUUUUCGCAUGAUUAAAGGUUUACCGGUGUAAGAUGGGGAUGCGUUCCAUUAGAUAGUAGGCGGGGUAACGGCCCACCUAGUCUUCGAUGGAUAGGGGUUCUGAGAGGAAGGUCCCCCACAUUGGAACUGAGACACGGUCCAAACUCCUACGGGAGGCAGCAGUGAGGAAUAUUGGUCAAUGGACGAGAGUCUGAACCAGCCAAGUAGCGUGAAGGAUGAAGGUUCUAUGGAUUGUAAACUUCUUUUAUACGGGAAUAAACGAAUCCACGCGUGGAUUUUUGCAUGUACCGUAUGAAUAAGGAUCGGCUAACUCCGUGCCAGCAGCCGCGGUAAUACGGAGGAUCCGAGCGUUAUCCGGAUUUAUUGGGUUUAAAGGGAGCGUAGAUGGGUUGUUAAGUCAGUUGUGAAAGUUUGCGGCUCAACCGUAAAAUUGCAAUUGAUACUGGCAGUCUUGAGUACAGUUGAGGUAGGCGGAAUUCGUGGUGUAGCGGUGAAAUGCUUAGAUAUCACGAAGAACUCCGAUUGCGAAGGCAGCUUACUAACCUGUAACUGACAUUGAUGCUCGAAAGUGUGGGUAUCAAACAGGAUUAGAUACCCUGGUAGUCCACACGGUAAACGAUGAAUACUCGCUGUAGGCGAUAUACAGUCUGCGGCCAAGCGAAAGCAUUAAGUAUUCCACCUGGGGAGUACGCCGGCAACGGUGAAACUCAAAGGAAUUGACGGGGGCCCGCACAAGCGGAGGAACAUGUGGUUUAAUUCGAUGAUACGCGAGGAACCUUACCCGGGCUUAAAUUGCAACCGAAUAUGGCGGAAACGCUAUAGCUAGCAAUAGCGGUUGUGAAGGUGCUGCAUGGUUGUCGUCAGCUCGUGCCGUGAGGUGUCGGCUUAAGUGCCAUAACGAGCGCAACCCUUGCCGAUAGUUACUAACAGGUCAUGCUGAGGACUCUGUCGGGACUGCCAUCGUAAGAUGUGAGGAAGGUGGGGAUGACGUCAAAUCAGCACGGCCCUUACGUCCGGGGCUACACACGUGUUACAAUGGGGGGUACAGAGGGCUGCUACCACGCAAGUGGAUGCCAAUCCCAAAAACCUCUCUCAGUUCGGAUUGAAGUCUGCAACCCGACUUCAUGAAGCUGGAUUCGCUAGUAAUCGCGCAUCAGCCACGGCGCGGUGAAUACGUUCCCGGGCCUUGUACACACCGCCCGUCAAGCCAUGGGAGCCGGGGGUACCUGAAGUGCGUAACCGCAAGGAGCGCCCUAGGGUAAAACUGGUGACUGGGGCUAA